AAGGUGGAGGCAUAAGAUGGAGGCUCUAAAGGGUCAGAAGCAGGAGUACGUGACAGGGAUGUGGAACGUCAACACGGUGCUGCUGAGAGGGCUGUGGAAGGAACCCGAUCUGGAGGGUAACGAACACUCACACACACUGACUUUUGCCCAUAGUAAUUUAGUGAUUCAAAAGUCAGUGUGAUAGUCAUUGAUUUUGAUAGUCAUUCAAACGCAGGAUGUUCCAGUCAAGGAUUGUGAAAUAAAAGGAAGUCAAACAGUUCUGGUUUAGUAGGUAAUGUCAUGACUCAUUGGAUUUCUGGCUUAUUGGUACUAAACCUGUUUCUUAGCCUAUUGUUUAUAGACUCAUAGGUAACCUAUUGUCUGUUGGGUUUUUUACAGAGGAGGAAGAGAGCCCAGAUGAAGAAAUAACCAGCCCUAAACAGGCCACCGCAGCAUGGGAGCGCGCUGCCCGUCUCAUCCAGCAGAGGGAGUCUCUGCUGGCUCGUCUGGAGCUGUUUGACAGGGACGCUUCUGACCCCAACCGCUUCUUCCUGCAAGGUACUGCAUAAUAUAUAUCUGCUCUGGGGUGAAGUUUCCCCUCGGUGCAGAUAUAUUCCCACGAGCCCGUCAUCCCCAAUUAAGGUGACACCAACCUCCUGUGCUUCUUACAAUAUUAUAACAUAUUGCUUUUACAGCGUAUUGUAUUGGAUGAUAUAUUGUAAAUUGCUAAAUAUAUCAUCAUAUUAUUAUUGUUAUAAAUAAAAGGCAGUUGAUGAAAUAUAUAAUGCCAGAGUACACCUUACUGGACCAAAAAAUGUAAGCACCUGGUAUUCCCAGGCAGUCUCCCAGCCAAGUACUAACUAGCUUCUGAGAGGCUAGUAUGGUCGUAAGUGAAGGAACAUAUCUUCAUGUACUUUACAAAGUGUCUUUCGCUCUCUUUCUUUCCUUCCUCUUUCUUUCUUUCCUUCCUUCCUCUUUCUUUCCUUCCUUCCUCUUUCUUUCCUUCCUUCCUUCCUUCCUUCCUUCCUUCCUUCCUUCCUUCCUUCCUUCCUUCCUUCCUUCCUUCCUUCCUUCCUUCCUUCCUUCCUUCCUUCCUUCCUUCCUCUUUCUUUCCUUCCUUCCUCUUUCUUUCCUUCCUUCCUUCCUUCCUCUUUCUUUCUUUCCUUCCUUCCUUCCUUCCUUCCUUCCUUCCUUCCUUCCUUCCUUCCUUCCUUCCUUCCUUCCUUCCUUCCUUCCUUCCUUCCUUCCUUCCUUCCUUCCUUCCUUCCUUCCUUCCUUCCUUCCUUCCUUCCUUCCUUCCUUCCUUCCUUCCUUCCUUCCUUCCUUCCUCUUUCUUUCCUUCCUUCCUCUUUCUUUCCUUCCUUCCUUCCUUCCUCUUUCUUUCCUUCCUUCCUUCCUUCCUCUUUCUUUCUUUUCUUUCUAUUAAUUCUUUCCUGCCCCUCUCUCUCUUUCUCGCUCUCUCUCUCUCUCACUCAUUUUUUUCUUUCUCAGGCUACCAGGGCACCUCUCUAGCCAGGUUGGAUGAGUCCAAGCACCGGAGCAAACUCAACUCCCAGAUCUGUUCUCUGGAGAAGGUGUUGUCUAAGAUUCUCCACCACAUUACAGACAGCUUCCACGACACUGUCACCUACAAGGGGAGGCCGUACAGGGAGAAGAUGCGCUGGGACCACAUCGAGAUGCUCUACUGGCUGCAGCACGAGCGCCGGGUCCAGGCUCUGGAGAGGGUGGUGGAGGGGAGGGGCUCUCUCCCCACCAGACUGCCCCCACCCCCCCCCCCCCCCCCCCCCCAACCAACCCACUUCAGCGGGCAGGCCUUUCUAAUCGACCUGGCCGGGGUAUCCUGGAAGGAUAUUGAUCUCAUCCCGUCAGUAGAGGAUGCCUGGUUAUUUUUUUUAAAUGCCUUCCUAACCAUCUUAAAUAAGCAUGCCCCAUUCAAGAAAUAUAGAACCAGGAACAGAUUUAGCCCUUGGUUCUCUCCAGACCUGACUGCCCUUAACCAACACAAAAACAUCCUAUGGCGUUCUGCAUUAGGGGGCGGCAGCGUAGCCUAGUGGUUAGAGCAUUGGACUAGUAACCGGAAGGUUGCGAGUUCAAACCCCCGAGCUGACAAGGUACACAUCUAUCGUUCUGCCCCUGAACAGGCAGUUAACCCAUUGUUCCCAGGCCGUCAUUGAAAAUAAGAAUAUGUUCUUAACUGACUUGCCUGGUUAAAUAAAUAGCUGAUAUGCAGCUUUUCAGGGAAGCUAGAAACCAUUAAACACAGGCAGUUAGAAAAGUCAAGGCUAGCUUUUUCAAACAGACAUUUGCCUCCUGCAUUACUAACUCAAAACAGUUCUGGGACACUGUAAAGUUCAUGGAGAAUUAGAACACCUCCUCCCAGCUGCCCACUGCACUGAAGACAGGAAACACUGUCACCACUGAUAAAUCCACUAUAAUUGAGAAUUUCAAUAAGCAUUUUUCUAUGGCUGGCCAUGCUUUCCACCUGGCUACCCCUACCCCGGUCAACAGCACUGCACCCCCACAGCAACUAGCCCAAGCCUUCCCCAUUUCUCCUUCUCCCAAGUCCAGUCAGCUGAUGUUCUGAAAGAGCUGGAAAAUCUGGACCCCUUCAAAUCAGCCGGGCUAGACAAUCUGGACCUUUUCUUUCGAAAAUUAUCUGCUGAAAUUGUUGCCACCCCUAUUACUAGCCUGUUCAACCUCUCUUUCGUGUCGUCUGAGAUUCCCAAAGAUUGGAAAGCAGCUGCGGUCAUCCCCCUCUUCAAAGGGGGGGACACUCUUGACCCAAACUGCUACAGAGCUAUAUCUAUCCUACCCUGCCUUUCUAAGGUCUUCGAAAGCCAAGUCAACAAACAGAUUACCAACCAUUUCGAAU
This 2851-nucleotide long non-coding RNA is filed under the name Oncorhynchus kisutch (coho salmon). RNAcentral describes it as "lncRNA (ENSOKIG00005007204.1)". The record is from RNAcentral. Lineage: Eukaryota; Metazoa; Chordata; Actinopteri; Salmoniformes; Salmonidae.